Long non-coding RNA from Fukomys damarensis (Damara mole-rat), 626 nucleotides. RefSeq lists it as uncharacterized. The record is from RefSeq and is a predicted model, not a curated record. Lineage: Eukaryota; Metazoa; Chordata; Mammalia; Rodentia; Bathyergidae. The transcript is spliced from 4 exons.
AAUAUCGUUCAUGAAAGAGUAAGACAUGCAGUGUAGCUAGAAUCCGUAGUACAGGACGCCUUUCUUCUCCCUUCCUUCACUUUGAACUGGUGGAGAUGACUCUGGUGGAGAUGCUUUGGGGAGGACAAUGGACGAGUGGAGAGCACUAAGUCCAUCAUUCUUGUGAGCCACCAUCCAUGCAAAUACAAAGAUCUCCUUGGACUGCAUCUGCCAGUGGAACCUUUAGGAAGUGAGGCCUCGAGGGAGGUGCUGUGGAGCGCCAGUCUCUUCCUGUUUCCUUUUUACUUCCUGGCUCCUGCAGUGAGAGUUCUGCCCUGCCACACAUUCCCACCUGCCAUCAUGCUGCCUCGCCAGGGACGCAAAGCGGUAAAGCUACAUUGCCAUGGACUAGAACCUCUGCAACGGCGAGCCAUAAUAAACCUUUCUCUUUAUCGUAUUUGAUGAUGCCAAAUGAGUUACAUCUGUUUGCAGAGUCCAGCGAUGACUGAUAAGAAUUCAAUUCCUAACCAAGGAGGUAAGACUUCUACAGUGAAAAUUACAGUACACUGAAGAAUGACAUCAAAGAAGACACUAGAAGAUACAAAGACCUUGCAUGUUCAUGGACUGGCAGAAUUAAUAUGGUUAAA